GGGCCUAAAGCGCCGUAGCCGGGCAGUUAAAUCCUCUGUGAAAUCGUCGCGCUCAACGUGACGGCGGGCAGGGGAGACUGGCUGCCUCGAGACCGGGAAGAGCUAGAGGUAUGCCGUGGGGACUGGUAAAAUGGUAUAAUCCACGGUAGACCACCAAUGGCGAAGGCAUCUGGCUGGAACGGAUCUGACGGUGAGGGACGAAAGCCAGGGGAGCGAACCGGAUUAGAUACCCGAGUAGUCCUGGCCGUAAACGCUGCGAGCAAGGUGUCGCCCAUCCCACGAGGAUGGGCGGUGUCGAAAUGAAGAUGCUAAGCUCGCCGCCUGGGAAGUACGGUCGCAAGACUGAAACUUUAAGGAAUUGGCGGGGGCGCACUACAAGGGGUGCGGCGUGCGGUUUAAUCCAACUCAACGCGGAGAACCUUACUAGGGGCGACGGCAGGAUGAAGGUCGUGCUAAAGACACUACCAGACGAGCCGAGAGGUAGUGCAUGGCCGCCGUCAGCUCGUGCCGUAAGGUGUCCAGUUAAGUCUGGUAACGAGCAAGACCUGCAUUCACAAUUGCUAACGAACUCUGUGAUCGAGCACAUUGUGGAGACCGCCCGGGUAACCGGGAGGAAGGUGCAGGCAACGGUAGGUCUGUAUGCUCCGAAUCCCCUAGGCUACACGCGCGCAACAA
Molecule: ribosomal RNA, 675 nt
Filed under: uncultured archaeon SC6
Lineage: Archaea
Description: bacterial SSU rRNA
Rfam family: Archaeal small subunit ribosomal RNA
Source: RNAcentral